UACGUAGGGUGCAAGCGUUGUCCGGAAUUAUUGGGCGUAAAGAGCUCGUAGGCGGUUUGUUGCGUCGGCUGUGAAAUCCCGAGGCUCAACCUCGGGUCUGCAGUCGAUACGAGCAAACUAGAGUGUUGCAGGGGAGACUGGAAUUCCUGGUGUAGCGGUGAAAUGCGCAGAUAUCAGGAGGAACACCGGUGGCGAAGGCGGGUCUCUGGGCAGCAACUGACGCUGAGGAGCGAAAGCGUGGGUAGCAAACAGG
Molecule: ribosomal RNA, 253 nt
Filed under: uncultured bacterium
Lineage: Bacteria
Description: partial 16S ribosomal RNA
Rfam family: Bacterial small subunit ribosomal RNA
Source: RNAcentral